Long non-coding RNA from Gallus gallus (chicken), 521 nucleotides. RefSeq lists it as uncharacterized. The transcript has 3 exons. The record is from RefSeq and is a predicted model, not a curated record. NCBI's taxonomy places the organism in Eukaryota, Metazoa, Chordata, Aves, Galliformes, Phasianidae.
UCACCUGUGUGACUGGAAGGAGUGGAGCCAGGCUCCACCCCUCCUUGACCCCAUUUAAGGGCUGACUGCCACUAGGGAAGGAUCUCUUUCUGAAGGUCCCUCUUUUUUGGAGUUUUCCACUGUGAGCCUACAUCCUUGGACACAGUCAAAGGGAUGUUGGGGCUCAGCACAGUGAGCUACCAUUUUCCAGCUGGACUUCUCAGCAACAUCUUCUGCACCCUAUGAACAAGGACCCCUUAUGAAGGCCUCCCGAGCUCUUUUAUUUACAUACCCUGGACACAGAGGCAAUUACAGAAGGACCAAGAUGUCGACACAGUCCUGCUAGGUCUCUAACAGACACAAGGCUCUCAAGCAUUCAUGGAUUAUACUUUCUGCAAUCCUUUCCUUCCCUGAAGGUUUCUCAAGACCUGCCACCUUCUUUUCCGUAUGGAGAACUUGACAUGUAUCUACACUACAGUUCUUAUUUUGUAAGAGUAUAAGAAUGCAUUUUGUAAGAAUAAAAUUUAUUUCAUUUCAGUAAA